CAACAGAAUUGGCUGAGUAAUGUGGAAUGUGGCCAGGAGACCAGCCAGAUGCAGAGCCCAGUGAGCCCUGCCCUGCGUCUCUGUGCAGGGUGUGUGAUGUGUGGCUUCCCAGACAGUCAUCCAACAGGCACUUUCCAAGUCCCUGCUCUGCACCAGGGAGGGCUUCCUGAGUGGCAAGAGCUACGCCUGGGCUGGGUGCCAGCUAGCUGGGUGAAGUUCUCACAGUGUCCACUAGAUGCCGCGCCUACACCACAGGGUCUCACUAUGUUGCCCAGGCUGGUCCCAAACUCCUGGC
RNAcentral lists this long non-coding RNA (295 nucleotides) under Homo sapiens (human). RNAcentral's name for it is "HSALNT0310536". Lineage: Eukaryota; Metazoa; Chordata; Mammalia; Primates; Hominidae. The record is from RNAcentral.